CAGAUACAGUGAUGAUGGCAUAGUUCAUCAGAGUGUCCUGUGAUGAAUACCAGGAUCUUGUCUUUCGCUCCUAUCUGAUGUAUCUG
Molecule: non-coding RNA, 86 nt
Organism: Calypte anna (Anna's hummingbird)
Lineage: Eukaryota; Metazoa; Chordata; Aves; Apodiformes; Trochilidae
Source: Rfam